GCUGAUCAGUAGUGGGAUCGCGCCUGUGAAUAGCCACUGUACUCCAGCCUGGGCAACAUAGCGAGACCCCGUCUCUUUUG
This is a microRNA precursor of Bison bison bison, 80 nucleotides long. NCBI's taxonomy places the organism in Eukaryota, Metazoa, Chordata, Mammalia, Artiodactyla, Bovidae. The record is from Ensembl.